RNAcentral lists this transfer RNA (67 nucleotides) under Microcaecilia dermatophaga (tiny white caecilian). RNAcentral describes it as "tRNA-Ser". The record is from RNAcentral. Lineage: Eukaryota; Metazoa; Chordata; Amphibia; Gymnophiona; Siphonopidae.
AAGAGAAGACGAACUAAUAGAAACUGCUAAUCAACUAUAAUUGAGGUUAAACUCCACAAUUCUCUUA